UACACGCUGUGACUAGCAUAUCAAUAAGCGGAGGAAAAGUCAACUACCUACGCUUAGGAUGUUGACGAGACUGUCGAUCUCAUCAAUACAUGACUCUGUGCAUAUCAAUAAGCGGAGGAAAAGAAACUAACAAGGAUUCCCUUAGUAACGGCGAGUGAAGCGGGAAGAGCUCAAAUUUGAAAUCUUGAAAGGUCACCUUUCACGAAUUGUAGUUUAAAGAAGUGUUUUCUGCUGAAGUUUUGGUAAAAGUUCUUUGGAAUAGGACAUCAUAGAGGGUGAGAAUCCCGUAUUUGACCAUUAUUUUCAGCUUUGUGAUACACUUUCAAAGAGUCGGAUUGUUUGGGAAUGCAGUCCAAAAUGGGUGGUAAAUUUCAUCUAAAGCUAAAUAUUGGCGAGAGACCGAUAGCGAACAAGUACCGUGAGGGAAAGAUGAAAAGAACUUUGAAAAGAGAGUUAAAUAGUACGUGAAAUUGUCAAAAGGGAAGCGUUUAACACCAGUGUUGUUUCCUGAAAAUCAACCUCUGUUAGCUUUAUGCAUGUUUGUUUAGACCUAAUCAGCUAUCUUGCAUGUUCUAUUGUUUGCAGUGGUGCACUUUUCAGUUUACAGGUCAACAUCAGUUUUUUUUACCGUAAAAAAGUUAAAGAAAGGUAGCUCAUGGCUCCGGUCGUGAGUGUUAUAGUCUUUUUCCUAUGCGGUAGGAGAGACUGAGGUCUGCAGUGUAGGCUAUUUGGCUAGAUACUCAGGUGCUAUGUGAUACCAUUUCAUAAACAACUUGUUGAUUAUGUUUUGUCUAUUGCAUACUCGCUUGUACUAUCAUACCUACGCUUAGGAUGUUGAGUAGCGACAUACGCAC
Molecule: ribosomal RNA, 854 nt
Filed under: uncultured Neocallimastigales
Lineage: Eukaryota; Fungi; Neocallimastigomycota; Neocallimastigomycetes; Neocallimastigales
Description: partial large subunit ribosomal RNA
Rfam family: Eukaryotic large subunit ribosomal RNA
Source: RNAcentral